GAUGCAGAGGACAAGCUCGAGGAUGGCGAUUCAGAGGAGCAGGGAGAUACAAGAAGAAAUAAUGCAAGAUGAGUCAUUUUGUUCAUUACGAUAAAUCUACGAAGUGGAAGAAAAUGAGCAUGCCACUAAUAUUUCGAUCUUUUGAGGGGUAAUCCUGUGGUCGUUGUACACAAAUGGGAGUCUAGGAGUGAACUAAUCUUUUGUUCAAAGUGUGACUGGACACUUCAAUUUUUGUCGCAUGUUCGCCUAAUGGGAUGUUCCCUGACCAGUUACUUUGCUGGGUUGCAGCCAAGAUCUCAAGCAUGAAGUUCAUUUACUAUAAAGCUGGGCUAGGUUUCCCCACUUAUUGCCGCAACUUCACAUUGGACAUCACAAGGAUGGGUGAAGCCACGAAUCCUGAUUGAAGACCGGAAGAUGAUGAUGAUAACAAGAGCUCGAUGGAGGUAUGCAGUCCUAUUGAAGAUGGCCAAGUUCAGAUCCAAAGGCGAUGUAUUCCAUCCAGUGCCUGUGGCCGGGGAUCGCAUCCAGCCUGUGCGAUCUGUGUGGAGAACGCACCCUGCGGCCAACAAAAUCCUGUUAUAUAGGCAAUGGAAAAAGGCGGGAGGUGAGUCGCAGAAAGAAAAAUUGGUGCCAAUGUGGUUGUUCAGGAAAGGGCGGAGGCGGAGAUGGACAGUUGCGAUCUGUAUUUGUUAAUCGCGUUUGUGGAAAAACGACUAAUACUCGUUUUCCCACAAACCUGGAAUUCUGGGCCUUUGUGAAACGAGUUUCCUAUAUGCAUGGGUUAGUUGGAGGAGCCAAACAA
Long non-coding RNA from Triticum aestivum (bread wheat), 802 nucleotides. RefSeq lists it as uncharacterized. NCBI's taxonomy places the organism in Eukaryota, Viridiplantae, Streptophyta, Magnoliopsida, Poales, Poaceae. The record is from RefSeq and is a predicted model, not a curated record. The transcript is spliced from 3 exons.